CCUACGGGAGGCAGCAGUGGGGAAUCUUGCGCAAUGGGCGAAAGCCUGACGCAGCAACGCCGCGUGCGGGAAGAAGGCUUUCGGGCUGUAAACCGCUUUCAGCAGGAACGAAAAUGACGGUACCUGCAGAAGAAGGAGCGGCCAACUAUGUGCCAGCAGCCGCGGUGAUACAUAGGCUUCAAGCGUUGUCCGGAUUUAUUGGGCGUAAAGAGUUCGUAGGCGGUCAAGUAAGUCGGGUGUGAAAAUUCUGGGCUCAACCCAGAGACGCCACCCGAUACUGCUUAACUUGAGUUCGAUAGGGGAGUGGGGAAUUCCUAGUGUAGCGGUGAAAUGCGCAGAUAUUAGGAGGAACACCGGUGGCGAAGGCGCCACUCUGGAUCGAUACUGACGCUGAGGAACGAAAGCAUGGGUAGCAAACAGGAUUAGAUACCCUGGUAGUCCAUGCCGUAAACGGCGGGCACUAGGUGUGGGUUUCCUAUUAACGAAAUCCGCGCCGUCGCUAACGCAUUAAGUGCCCCGCCUGGGGGAGGUACGGUCGCGAGACGUAAACGUACGAAGAAGUAGUAACGGUCGUGAGAGUGCGAGACGACGACGAGGGAGAGG
RNAcentral lists this ribosomal RNA (603 nucleotides) under uncultured bacterium. RNAcentral's name for it is "bacterial SSU rRNA". The stretch from base 1 to 521 matches the Rfam family "Bacterial small subunit ribosomal RNA", at positions 338 to 873 of the family's 1533-position model. The record is from RNAcentral.